RNAcentral lists this unclassified non-coding RNA (231 nucleotides) under plant metagenome. RNAcentral describes it as "partial contains small subunit ribosomal RNA, internal transcribed spacer 1, and 5.8S ribosomal RNA". The record is from RNAcentral.
UCUCCGUUGGUGAACCAGCGGAGGGAUCAUUACAGAGUUGCAAAACUCCCAAACCAUUGUGAACGUUACCUAUCCCGUUGCUUCGGCGGGCGGCCCGGGCCCCGCGCCCGGCGCCCCCCGGCCCCCCGUGGGCGCCCGCCGGAGGUAAACCAGACCCUUGAAUUGCAUGGCCUCUCUGAGUCUGCUGUACUGAAUAAGUUAAAACUUUCAACAACGGAUCUCUUGGUUCUG